Molecule: ribosomal RNA, 253 nt
Filed under: uncultured bacterium
Lineage: Bacteria
Description: partial 16S ribosomal RNA
Rfam family: Bacterial small subunit ribosomal RNA
Source: RNAcentral
UACGUAGGGUGCAAGCGUUGUCCGGAAUUAUUGGGCGUAAAGAGCGCGCAGGCGGUCGAUCAAGUCGAGUGUGAAAGCCCCCGGCUCAACUGGGGAGGGUCAUUCGAUACUGAUCGACUCGAAGGCAGGAGAGGGUAGUGGAAUUCCCGGUGUAGCGGUGAAAUGCGUAGAGAUCGGGAGGAACACCAGAGGCGAAAGCGGCGACCUGGACAGGUACUGACACUCAACUACGAAAGCGUGGGGAGCAAACAGG